Molecule: ribosomal RNA, 487 nt
Filed under: uncultured bacterium
Lineage: Bacteria
Description: bacterial SSU rRNA
Rfam family: Bacterial small subunit ribosomal RNA
Source: RNAcentral
AGAGUUUGAUCCUGGCUACAGAACGAACGCUGGCGGCGUGUCUUAAACAUGCAAGUCGAACGAUCUGUAGCAAUACAGGGAGUGGCGGACGGGUGAGGAACACGUAGGAAUCUACCUUGAAGAGCGGGACAACUUUGGGAAACCGGGGCUAAUACCGCAUAGUACAGAGAUGUUAAAGGGCUAGCAAUAGUCGCUUCGAGAUGAGCCUGCGGUCUAUCAGCUUGUUGGUGAGGUAAUGGCUCACCAAGGCUACGACGGAUAGCCGGUCUGAGAGGAUGAUCGGCCACACUGGCACUGAGACACGGGCCAGACUCCUACGGGAGGCAGCAGUUAAGAAUCUUGCGCAAUGGGGGAAACCCUGACGCAGCGACGCCGCGUGAAGGAUGAAGGCUUUCGGGUUGUAAACUUCGGUAGACUGGGAAGAAGAAAUACGUUCGUUGAGGGCGUAUAGUGACGGUACCAGUCUGAAGCCCCGGCUAAUUACGUG